GUUCAGGGGUCUGCAAGAACCUCGUGAGGCGCCAGCCCAAACUUGCAUCCUUCCAACCUGUUCAAGGAGGAUGCUUUAUG
Shimia sp. SK013 is the source of this 80-nucleotide regulatory RNA element. It matches the Rfam family "chrB-a RNA". Lineage: Bacteria; Pseudomonadati; Pseudomonadota; Alphaproteobacteria; Rhodobacterales; Roseobacteraceae. The record is from Rfam.